Long non-coding RNA from Beta vulgaris subsp. vulgaris (sugar beet), 1138 nucleotides. RefSeq lists it as uncharacterized. Lineage: Eukaryota; Viridiplantae; Streptophyta; Magnoliopsida; Caryophyllales; Amaranthaceae. The record is from RefSeq and is a predicted model, not a curated record. The transcript is spliced from 2 exons.
AAGGAAAAAUUGAUAUAAAAAGGCUAAAGUAUUGCUCAUCUUCCAUAAAAGGUCCAAACAAUUGAUUAUUAUUCGAAGGUACCAACUUUUAAUACCAUUUGACAAAACAAGUUCCCUUAACCUGUUUACCUUCUACUGCAGAUUCACUUCUUGUUCUAUCCUACCUCUUUCUCUCUCUUAACAUUUCUUCCACCAUUCAUUCUACCAAGAUCUUGAAGCGUUGAAGAUGGCGAAUCCGCAAGGGUCAUGAGCUUCAUCUUCAAGUGUUGGGGAAACAACUGUACAAUGUGGGUAUGGGAUGCCUAGCAAAAUUCGAACUGUGACCAAAGAUAACCGAAAUUUUGGGAAAAAAUUUCGUGGUUGUGGGAAGUAUCUGGUGAGUAAAUUUCAUUUUUUUCGUUGAAUUUAGGUAAAAUCUAAAAGCUUAAUCUGUUUUGAAGUACAAUUACUUUCGAUUUAAGGUUUAAUUGGGUAUGUUUUUUGAUUUAUAUUGAAAUUCAUCUGAGUUAGGUGCGAAUUAGGGCUUCGAAUUAGUUUAAUUUGUUUUGAUAUUAUUGGUUCUUAUUAAUUAUCAAUUAGGUCAAAUUCUUCUUGUUUGAUUGGAUUGGAAGCGCAAUGGAGUGAUUAUCCAAUUGUAAGUACUGAUUGUGAAUUGGACUUGUUAUAAUGUCUACUAAUUGCAGGCUUUCUGUAGUGUUUUUUUUACUGGGUUUAUGAAGAAGGUGAAUGUGUUGGUUAUGGCAAUGUAACACAGAGAUUAGAUACAUUAGAGAAGGACGUGGAAGCAAUGUCAGAUAAGCUGAAAAGGGCCACUGCCAAGAAGAAUACACUAAAAAAGUCUAAUGAAGAACUGACCAUGGACAGAUUCAAGAACUGUAUGCAGAAGAUAAUGGAUUUGGCUGCUUUAGUCUUGACUCGGGCUUUGAUUGUCAUAAAUUGGUAUGCUUAGUAUAUGAUUAUGGUGUAUAGUUUAGGGAUUGUUUUAGAUGGUAGAUUUGGAUAGAAUAAGAAUUUUUGAAGCAGUUAAACUUAUGUCUUUUGGCAAUAAGAGUUAAGAGCUUUUAUAUGUUUUGCAGAUUGAAUCAUUUUGUAUGGUUUUGAAAUGAAAAGAUCAAUGAUAUUGCUCACAUUUGGAGAA